RNAcentral lists this ribosomal RNA (460 nucleotides) under uncultured bacterium. RNAcentral's name for it is "partial 16S ribosomal RNA". It matches the Rfam family "Bacterial small subunit ribosomal RNA", at positions 338 to 795 of the family's 1533-position model. The record is from RNAcentral.
CCUACGGGAGGCAGCAGUGAGGAAUAUUGGUCAAUGGACGAGAGUCUGAACCAGCCAAGUAGCGUGAAGGAUGACUGCCCUAUGGGUUGUAAACUUCUUUUAUAUGGGAAUAAAAUGUUCCACGUGUGGGAUUUUGUAUGUACCAUAUGAAUAAGGAUCGGCUAACUCCGUGCCAGCAGCCGCGGUAAUACGGAGGAUCCGAGCGUUAUCCGGAUUUAUUGGGUUUAAAGGGAACGUAGGUGGAUUGUUAAGUCAGUUGUGAAAGUUUGCGGCUCAACCGUAAAAUUGCAGUUGAAACUGGCAGUCUUGAGUACAGGAGAGGUGGGCGGAAUUCGUGGUGUAGCGGUGAAAUGCUUAGAUAUCACGAAGAACUCCGAUGGCGAAGGCAGUUCACUGGACUGAAACUGACACUGAGGCUCGAAAGUGUGGGUAUCAAACAGGAUUAGAUACCCCGGUAGUC